RNAcentral lists this long non-coding RNA (3972 nucleotides) under Panax ginseng (ginseng). RNAcentral describes it as "long non-coding RNA (PGIN_LNC006083)". Lineage: Eukaryota; Viridiplantae; Streptophyta; Magnoliopsida; Apiales; Araliaceae. The record is from RNAcentral.
UACUAUUUAAGAAUUCUACUCUUGAUCCUUUAUAUAUAUAUAUAUAUAUAUAUAUAACCAACAUAAAAAUAGACCAUAUAAAAUGGCUAUAUCUACCUUGGCACCAAAAAAUCCUAGGAAGAAUAAUUCGGAGCUAAAGGUAGACGCACAUAUAUACAUACACACAAAACAGAAGAAUGAAUAUACAUAUAUAUGUACAUAAAUUAUCAAUUUUGCCUAACGAUAGAUCCCUUCAUCCACUCAUAUAUUUGGACCAAGGAAUUGGAAUAUUAGGCUGACUGGCCGAAUACCAACCGAACCAAAUUAUACACAAGAUAUAACAUAAACGAGAAAGGAAUAACAAAUAGAUCAGUACAAGUAUGAAUCGUCACCUCUGCCUUCGACUUUCUCAAAUUUAAACGACACCAUGAGGGCAUUAUAUAGACAGAAAAAAAGGGGGGUGGGUUACCACUUCCCACAAAUCCUAGCCAUUACUGUUAUGAAGACACAUCCAAGUUAACAUUAUAUAUUGCAAUCUAAACAAAUCUAUGAUAAUAUAGGCCAAUAAAAUGUUAUUUAAACAAAAUAAAUCACAACAAAGCUAUUACAAGAGUGGGAAUGGGAUGCCUCAGAGAUCUUGGUGAAUAAAAUUCAUCAGUAGGGAUAUCAAAACCACAUCAAGAGUAGCAAAUAUCUUUCUUACAUCACAGGUCAUAUACAUAAAAAACUUGAGGCCUUUAGUUGUAAAAAUAAUGUUAAAAGGUGGAAAAUAUAAAGAAAAAAAUUAAGAUAUUAAUGGAUGGACAAUGGCAAGAGUCAAGAAGUAGCUGGUAAGUAAACAUGGAAUAUUCAUUGGGAAUCCGAUUGAUUUUUUUCAUCAUCCCUGCCAUCAUAUCAUCAUCACAUCGUAAUAUAUAUAUAUAUAUAAUAUUUCUAUGCGUACACGUAAAUUGGACAAAAUAAAUAAAAAGAAUUUAUUACGAUCCAAUUACCCUUUCCAAUUUACAUGUGCAUAGAGUUAUUUAUUCAUAUAUAUAUAUAUAACCAAAAUAAAAUAAAAAAUAAAAAAAGAUCAUAUAAAAUGGCUAUAUCUACCUUGUCACCAAAAAAUCCUAGGAAGAAUAAUUCGGAGCUAAAAAUAGACGCACAUAUAUACAUAUACACAAAACAGAAGAAUGAAUAUAAAUAUAUAUGUACAUAAAUUAUCAAUUUUGCCUAACGAUGGAUCCCUUCAUCCACUCAUAUAUUUGGAACAAGGAAUUGCAAUAUUUGGCUAACUGGUCGAAUACCAACCCAACCAAAUUAAACACAAGAUAUAACAUAAACGAGAAAAGAAUAACUAAUAGAUCAGUACAAGUAUGAAUCUUCGCCUCAGCCUACGACUUUCUCAAAUUUACACGACAACAUGAGGGCAUUAUAUAGACAGAAAAAGAAGGGGGUGGGUUACAACUUCCCACAAAUCCUAGCCAUUACUGUUAUAAAGACACAUACAAGUUAACAUUAUAUAUUCCAAUCUAAACAAAUCUAGUAUAUGAUAAUAUAGGCCAAUAAAAUGUUAUUUAAACAAAAUAAAUCACAACAAAGCUAUUACAAGAGUGGGAAUGGGAAGCCACAGAGAUCUUGGUGGAUAAAAUUCAUCAAUUGGGAUAUCAAAACCCCAUCAAGAGUAGCAAAUAUCUUUCUUACAUCACAGGUCAUAUACAUAAAAAACUUGAAAACCUUGAAGCCUUUAGUUGUAAAAAUAAUGUUAAAAGGUGGAAAAUAUAGAGAAAAAAAUUAAGAUAUUAAUGGAUGGACAAUGGCAAGAGUCAGAAGUAGCUGGUAAAGUAAACAUGGAAUAUUCAUUGGGAAUCCGAUUGAUUUUUUUCAUCAUCCCUGCCAUCAUAUCAUCAUCACAUCGUAAUAUAUAUAUAUAUAAUAUUUCUAUGUGUACACGUAAAUUGGACAAAAAUUAUUACGAUCCAAUUACCCUUUCCAAUUUACAUGUGCAAAGAGUUAUUUAUUCAUAUAUAUAUAUAUAUAUAACCAAAAUAAAAUAUAAAAUAAAAAUAGACCAUAUAAAAUGGCUAUAUCUACCUUGUCACCAAAAAAUCCUAGGAAGAAUAAUUCAGAGCUAAAGUUAGACGCACAUAUAUACCUACACACAAAACAGAAGAAUGAAUAUACAUAUAUAUGUACAUAAAUUAUCAAUUUUGCCUAACGAUAGAUCCCUUCAUCCACUCAUAUAUUUGGACCAAGGAAUUGCAAUAUUAGGCUGACUGGCAGAAUACCAACCCAACCAAAUUAUAUACAAGAUAUAACAUAAACGAUAAAGGAAUAAUAAAUAGAUCAGAACAAGUAUGAAUCAUCGCCUCUGCCUUCGACUUUCUCAGAUUUACACGACACCAUAAGGGCAUUAUAUAGACAGAAAAAGAGGAGGGUGGGUUACCACUUCCCACAAACCCUAGCCAUUAUUGUUAUGACAACACAUCCAAGUUAACAUUAUGUAUUCCAAUCUAAACAAAUCUAGUAUAUGAUAAUAUAGGCCAAUAAAAUAUUAUUUAAACAAAAUAAAUCACAACAAAGCCAUUACAGGAGUGGGAAUGGGAGGCCUAAGAGAUCUUGGUGGAUAAAAUUCAUCAAGUGGGAUAUCAAAACCCCAUCAAGAGUAGCAAAUAUCUUUCUUACAUCACAGGCCAUAUACAUAAAAAACUUAAAGCCUUUAUUUGUAAAAAUGAUGUUAAAAGGUGGGGAAAAGAAGAAAAAAAAAUUAAGAUAUUAAUGGAUGGACAAUGGCAAGAGUCAGAAGUAGCUGGUAAGUAAACAUGGAAUAUUCAUUGGGAAUCCGAUUGAUUUUUUUCAUCAUCCCUGCCAUCAUAUCAUCAUCACAUCGUAAUAUAUAUAUAUAUAUAAUAUUUCUAUGCGUACACAUAAAUUGGACAAAAAAAUUAUUACGAUCCAAUUACCCUUUCCAAUUUACAUGUGCAUAGAGUUAUUUAUUCAUAUAUAUAUAACCAAAAUAAAAUAAAAAUAAAAAUAGACCAUAUAAAAUGGCUAUAUCUACCUUGUCACCAAAAAAUCCUAGGAAGAAUAAUUCAGAGCUAAAGGUAGACGCACAUAUAUACAUACACACAAAACAGAAGAAUGAAUAUACAUAUAUAUGUACAUAAAUUAUCAAUUUUGCCUAAAGAUAGAUCCCUUCAUCCACUCAUAUAUUUGGACCAAGGAAUUGCAAUAUUAGGCUGACUGGCAGAAUACCAACCCAACCAAAUUAUAUACAAGAUAUAACAUAAACGAUAAAGGAAUAAUAAAUAGAUCAGAACAAGUAUGAAUCAUCGCCUCUGCCUUCGACUUUCUCAGAUUUACACGACACCAUAAGGGCACUAUAUAGACAGAAAAAGAGGAGGGUGGGUUACCACUUCCGACAAACCCUAGCCAUUAUUGUUAUGACGACACAUCCAAGUUAACAUUAUGUAUUCCAAUCUAAACAAAUCUAGUAUAUGAUAAUAUAGGCCAAUAAAAUAUUAUUUAAACAAAAUAAAUCACAACAAAGCCAUUACAGGAGUGGGAAUGGGAGGCCUCAGAGAUCUUGGUAGAUAAAAUUCAUCAAAUGGGAUAUCAAAACCCCAUCAAGAGUAGCAAAUAUCUUUCUUACAUCACAGGCCAUAUACAUAAAAAACUUGCCUUUAUUUGUAAAAAUGAUGUUAAAAGGUGGGGAAAAGAAAAGAAAAAAAUUAAGAUAUUAAUGGAUGGACAAUGGCAAGAGUCAGAAGUAGCUGGUAAGUGAACAUGGAAUAUUCAUUGGGAAUCCGAUUGAUUUUUUUCAUCAUCCCUGCCAUCAUAUCAUCAUCACAUCGUAAUAUAUAUAUAAUAUUUCUAUGCGUACACGUAAAUUGGACAAAAUAAAUAAAAAGAAUUUAUUACGAUCCAAUUACCCUUUCCAAUUUACAUGUGCAUAGAGUUAUUUAUUCAUAUAUAUAUAUAUAACCAAAAUAAAAUAAAAAAUAAAAAAAG